Molecule: ribosomal RNA, 253 nt
Filed under: uncultured bacterium
Lineage: Bacteria
Description: partial 16S ribosomal RNA
Rfam family: Bacterial small subunit ribosomal RNA
Source: RNAcentral
UACGAAGGGGGCUAGCGUUGUUCGGAAUUACUGGGCGUAAAGCGCGUGUAGGCGGACCCGCAAGUCGGACGUGAAAUCCCUGAGCUCAACUCAGGAACUGCAUCCGAAACUGCGGGUCUGGAGUGGUGGAGAGGGAAGCAGAAUUCCUGGUGUAGAGGUGAAAUUCGUAGAUAUCAGGAGGAACACCGGUGGCGAAGGCGGCUUCCUGGACACUUACUGACGCUGAGACGCGAAAGCGUGGGGAGCAAACAGG